Molecule: non-coding RNA, 7385 nt
Organism: Rattus norvegicus (Norway rat)
Lineage: Eukaryota; Metazoa; Chordata; Mammalia; Rodentia; Muridae
Source: RefSeq, a predicted model, not a curated record
CCCCCUACAUUCCUAGCCUGUGGUAACUUACCUCACUUAGCCUCCCUCUGCUCAUCUGAAGAAUGGAACCAGCAGCCAUUUCAUACACGUGUGAGGGCCUGAGAAGGCACAGAUCCACUUCCUGACACAAGGUACCCACUCUACCCUCCAGCAGCCCUUGGCUAAACCAAGGGAGCCCCCAUGUUCCCAUCCUCUUCUCAUUCCAGCCACCUUUCCUUCUGAGAGUACCUGAUGCCAGUCAGAGACACAUGCCAGGGCCACCGAGCUAGAAAGUUCACUUCCUGCUGACCUUCCUCUUUCUAUAUGUGGGCCUCCCAAGGGACCAGCUCUCAGAGGUACUUGGGAUCCCUCUGUGUGAAGACAAUACCUGCCCCAGUCUUCCAUCCUGUCCAACCAGACUCCGUUGUACUGGCCAUAGGAGUGGGGCCACAGAGAAGGUCAAUGGGGUCCCUUGCUUGCUGGAAACACACUGAGAAUCUGGAGAACACGGCUAUCCAUAGACCAGACUCCACAUAGACAAAACAGGAACUCAGACACACACUCAAGAGAGACAGAUUUCUAGUGAACCAAGCCUCGCUGGACCUCACAAAUGGGGAUACAAAGUUUUUACUUAAACCUCAAAAUAAACCAAGACGCCAGGAAUUUCCAUACCCACCCUACAGAUGGAGAAACAAUACAAAGUUCUAAACACCUUGUUCAAGAUCACAGAGCAGGAAAAUGAGCCGGCAGGACUCUUACUAUCUUCUUGCAGUGGCCCGAUGGAUACCCCUACAAUGCUCGUCCACCUACUGCUCCCAAAGACAAGUCUCUUUGCUUCCUCCGCCUCAUCCUAAACAAGGUACCUCUUUACAGCGCUUUUCCUUCCUUACCCAACUGAAGCCCACCUCCUCCAGGAAGCCUUCUCUAGUUACCUCAGCUUGUUGCCAGCUUAUAGUACUUCCUACUCUUUUGAUACCUUUUAAUAUCUGAUCAUGUGACCUGCCUCCCCACCCAGAACCCUUCCUCUCUCCACAGCUCCCAACACUGAGGAACUGACUGAGGGGAAACCUAUGACCUCCUUGCCUCUCCAUCAUACAAAGGAUCCUGCAAAGAACGCUGAACACCGCCCCCCCACCCACCUUUGGAGCCUAUGCUUCCUGGUGGCCACACAUCAGUUUCCACCUGAGUAAUUGCAGCCCAUCACACAUACAUCAUCCCCUAUAUUUGAAACUCUUUGAGGUUGUCAUGGGAACUGCCUUCGCCUUCAUUCACUGAUCAGACCUCACAAUUAGCUUUGGCAGCGGAAGGCUUUGUCAGUGGCAAUCACCAGGAGGAGGAAGCAGAGGAGAAGGAACAACAGAAGAAAGAUGGUUUUCCUUGGAGAUCCAGCAGAAGCAGACACAGUGAUGGCACUGCUGAUGCCCUGCUGGACAAAGGGGCCGCACCAAACCACCCUCUCGCUUGCCCGUGACAAGUCAGGUCACAUACCUGAGUCCCUGACAGGUCCUGAUGCUCUACCUGUGCUCCCUGCGUCCUGUCAAUGGUUCUCAACUGUCAUAAUGCUGCGACCUUUUAAUAUAGGGUCAUGUGGUGCUGACCCCCAACCACAACAUUUUCGUUGCUACUUCAUAACGGUAAUUGUACUACUAUUAUGAAUUGUAAUGUAGCUAACUGAUAUGCAGGGUUUCUGAUAUGUCACCGCCCCAAAAGGGUUGAGAAUCACUGGUCUAGAUGCUCAGGAGAAGACAGUGUAUUGACUCAAAUGAAACAGUCUUUCGGACCACCAACUCUUCCAGGAGUCAUCAAAUAGCAGGAAACUAUAUGAUGACCCUAUAGAAAAAGGUUAUGUGUGUAUUACACCUCAGGAACCCAGGGUGGCCUGGAGGAAGGACUUCCAAAAGGAAUGAACAGAGAUUUACCCUGCUUUAAGGAUCUGUGAACACCCUCAAGUGUGCCCAGCUGCCUGCAUCUAGACAUCUCUGCCUUUAGCCUCUUUUGAGCUGCACUCCAGGAGCAGAGGGUCAGGGGAGUCACCGCCCUCCUCAAUCCUUCACAAGACAAUACACUCAAACUCUCAACCCAGCCCACUUCCCUUCCCAGCUGGUCUGAAAGAGGCCCAUUAAGGCUAGACUGUCCUCAAGGCACUCCGCCCUUCCAGCUUUAUAACAGAAUUCUGGUAGGAAAAGGUUUCCUUGGUCUCAUGAAGGAUAAAGGUCACACUGUCCCCUCUACUCCUGGCUCAGGCUCAGUGCCUGGCCUGGCCUACACUAGUCGGAGGAGAAGCCUGCUGGAUGGAGCUAGCCACAGGUUAAGACCACCAGACUCUGGAAACUGAGGCAGCACCAAAGAGGAGCUCUACUUCUCCAGGGAUAGGGACAUUGUAGGUCCAGGGGACUCUAGAAGGUAUGUGUUCUCCUUGCUCUAGUGCUUGCUCUUUUCCUCCUGUCCCAACCCCUCCCUGCACCUCUCCUCACCUUCCCACCCCACCCCCAGGCCUCAAGCAAGAACCUAUCCCUCUCCUAGAGUGCCAGCAUCAAUCCUGGAAUCUUUGGGGGAAUGGAGUUACCCCUAUAGGUACAAGUCAAUAAAAAAGACAGGUGAGAACAGCCCAAGGUCUCCCAGACAUGAAUGCCUCAGAAAUGGAACGCUAUAGUCCAGUACCUGGCCCCUUGCUUUUGAAUCAGCUUCUCCUUGUCCCUUCUGAGGCUUCCUCCAACAAUCAAGAGGGGCAGUGAGGUACAAGGACAGCCACAGUUCUGUCCUGUUGUGAGGACCUGGAUUCAUUGUGCCAUCAGCAGUGGGAGACAUGUAAUUUGUCAACUAAUUGCCAGGGUUUAGCAUUCUGGAACCCCCACAAGUCAGUCAGGUCAGCAAUGCAAACAACAGAGCCAUCUGAGAGCCCUGCCCACCACAUUGCUUGAAGCAAUCAAGCAACCCCCAGACUUGAGUUCACCUGAAAGACAACUGAUGAUCUCACACAGAGCUGCUUUCCCAGGCCCCCAUCACCCACCCCCGUCUCAGUCAUUAGCAGAAACUCAGGCUGUCAACUUCUCAUGUAAAUGGUAGACAAGACCACCAAAGUGUACAUAGUCCAGGAGUGGCAGCAGCUUUGGACCCACACAGAUCACCAGGCAGAGGCCUAACAGACUCUUCCAGAACAACCAACUGGACCACAGCGGGUGCAUGAGGAAGAUAAGGGGGUCUUCACCCCCAACAUCCUCUUCCUGAGCUUUCCACUCUUCUUCUAUAGGCAAAGAAGAGAUGGGGACUAGACAUUGAGUCCCAGAAUGGUUUGUCAGCCCACCUAGCCACCACACCGCCUUCUGCAGGAGACAGCCUAAGGCAGAGGGAUGACUCUGGGCUGGGCUGGGCUGUGAACAAGUACGUGCAGGAGAAGUUAACUUGAACAAUGUUCCCCGAGGCUUUGAUCAGGACUAGGUGGAAGGGUCCUAGUAGGGCGUCUCACCGCACUGGAUCCCACUGCUGCACUAAAGAAAAACAUAGUCAUGCCUUCCAGAAUGGUUUCUGAAGUAGGCUAGAAUCAGAAGAAGAUUGUUCUCUUCUAUACCACAGCCAUGAUUCCCAGCCCAAAAGGCCAUUUCCUCAACCUGAAAGAGGCUGUGAUGAGGAUGGAUCUGGGGACCACACAAGGACACCCUCUGUCUAGCUCCUAGCUCUGCCCAAUGGCUCUUCAAUACUGCUUUCUUCUUGAGACAGGGUCUUAGUAUAUAGCGGAGACUGGCCUGGAACUCACCAUGAAAGAGGCUGGACUACAGAAAGAGUUAAGCCAACCUCCAGCUCAGGAGUCCUUUCUGCUUCUACCUCCCAAGUGCUGGGAUUACAGGUAUGAGCCACCGCUCUCCCAUUCUUUCUCUGCACUGUCCAACCUGAGCCAUUAGCCGUAUGCAGCUGAGCGGUUAGAAGGCAGCUAUUGCGACCACUGCUGUAAUUUUAAUUUUAACUUAAAUAGCCAUCCAUGGUUUAUGGAUCUCACAUUGGAUGGCUCAGAUAGAGCACGCUUUUAAAGCCUGGAAUGGCCAUGAGUAUUCUAGGGAAUGUACUACAAACCAAAUACUGUCUCCCCAGGAAGAGAUCCUGUUGCACAUUCAAGAGAAAUUCAGCUGAACCUUUCAGAAAGCUCACAAGCCUGACCUCAACCCAGAUCUGAAACUAAGUCUUGUUAUAGGAUAAAGCCUAGGGCUGGGGUAUAGCUUAGGCAUAAAGUACUCACUUGUCUAAUGUGUUUGAGUUCUAAUUCCCUGCAUGACAAGAGAAAUUAGGGAGCUAGAGAGGUGGCUCCAUUCAGCAAAGUGCUUGCUGUCCAAACAUGAGGAUCCGAGUUUUGAUCUCCAGAACCUACAGCACCCACAUGACAGCCCAGCUUUGAUGCUGCUCUAGCACUGGAGACAGGAUCCUUCUUGGGGGUGGCUGGACAACCAGUCUAUCUGAAUCUUCAGUUACUGAAUCUGAAGACUGUCACAAAAGAAAUAAAAGGGUUGGCCUAGAGACAUGGCUCAGUGGUUAAGAACACGGAGGUUCACUUCCCAGCACCCACAUGUCAGCUAACAACUAUCUUUAACUCUGGUCCAGGGGAUAUGAUACCACCCUUUUCUGGCCUCCACAGACACUGGGCACACACAUGAUGCACAGACAUACACGCAAGUGAAACACCCAUAUACAUAAAAAAAAUAUACAUUUAAAAUAAGGUGGACAGAUCAUGGUAGCAAGAGACAAAAGGGUUCUCUGAGUUCAAGGCCAGCUUAAACCACCUUCAUGAAUUCCAGACCAGUCAGGUCUAUUUAGUGAGAUGCUAUCUCUAAAUAGAAGGUGGACAUCAAUUGAGGAAGACAUUCGAUGUUGAUCAUUGGCCUCUGUGAGUGCAUGUGCACUCACACACAAUCACUCACACACACACACACACACACACACACACACACACACACUACAAAAAUGUGACCAAAAAUGCUAUGGCCCAGGAUAGAUAUUUCUUUUGCAAGGAAGCGGUCUUAGGAAUAUGAAACAACACCUUAUGUUCCCUUCCCACAGACCCUGAAGAUCUCUCCCUCCCUUCUGAUAGCAUCACCAGUCAGCACCCAGCCUCUAUCCAGACACAUGCAAGCACAGGAAACAGCACCCCUCAGACAGCUAACAGUGUAGGAAAAACUGUAAACACACAUUCCUUUUUUCUACCAUGGCUUCAGUUGCCCGCUUAGAAGCUACUAACAGAAGGCCUGUAGACGCCUCCACAGGAAGGAACUGGCUCCUCUUCCACACAACGUUUGUUCUUCCACUCGUUUCUAAGUGACUAGCCCCAUUUCCUUUGAUUGUCCUAUAUGUGACCACUGCGACAGGUCUCAAGAUAGGCAGACAGAAUCCUUUACUGAGUCCCAGCUCUUUCCACCUGGUCAGGAAGCCAAGCCCUGACACGUGCAGCUCUUUUUAAAACAAGCCCAAGAGGGCUGGACAAAUGGCUCAGGCAUUAGGAGCAUUUGUUCUUACAGAGGCCCCAGGUUCGAUUCCUAGUACUCAUGCAAUGGUUUGAAACCAUCCAUGGUUCCAGUUCCAAGAGGAUCCAACACCCUCUUCUGACCUCUGAGGGCACCAGGCAUGCACAUGAGAAAGGAGGCAGAACACUCGUACACAGAAAUUAUUUUAAGAAGUGAAACAAGUCUAGGCCUUUCCACUUAAGUCCCUCUGACUUUGGCCGAGCCUUGCUGCUUAGGCUGCUGCAGUCUCUUCAGCCCUUUGUCCUAUCUUACAGUCACUUCCUCAUCGGCCAACACCCACUCAUGAUCUGCUGUACAAUCUCAGACCCUUCAACCAGACCCAAGAUUCCACAGACAUACCCCUCCCUCUGUUAACCACCAUUUAUGACCUGUGGGCCUCCCUCAUUUAUUACCUCCCUCAUCAGGUUUUCCAGCAGCAAACAUCUGAGAGCCUUCCUGGCUAUUUUCAGAUUGCACCCAAGUCCUUAAACAGUACCACCCCAAACUCACUAGCCCAAGGCACUCCAGAGGAAUGAGAACACAGAGGCAGUCCUGGAUCGGGUUCCCCUUUCCUGGUUGGCAACUAGAAUCCUGUGCCUGACUGUGAGUUAUUUUGCCCCCUUCCCCCUGCCCCAUACCUUCUUCUCCUUGUCUCACAGUGUUAAGAGAUUUACUCUUCAAAUUCUAAUGGUUAUAUAAACCACCUGGGUAUCUGGCCCAACUACAGAUUUGGGUGUAAAAGGUCUGGGAUAAGACCAGAGAUUCUGCAUUCUGUAACAAGCUCUGGAAAACGCUGCAGAUCAGCUGUAUAGCAAGGUAGAAGGGAAGCUAAACCACUUGGUGCGCUGCGACUCUGGUGAGAGCCUUGCCUCUGUAUGCAGCAGAGGGUCUCCACCCUGCACAGCAGAUUUGCUUCAAGAGCCUCAGGCCAGUCAACUCGGCUCUAGGUCGGUUAGGCAGGUGGGAACCCACGCCCUACAAGUGUAACAUUUCCCCAGGUGACCCCAGUGUGGAGUCCCCAUCCACACUGGACGAUGGAACAGGCAGUAAAGCCUGUCAGUUCUGUCCAGGAGGUUUCAAGAGAGAAUCAUUUCUCUGCAGAAACCCAGAUCUUAGCUUCUCUAGGCUGCUUGCUAAGGAACCAUGGGCAUUCCCAUAGCCCAUUGCUAGCCUAAGUUUCACUUCUCUCAAGUAACACCACCACCCUGUCAAUAAUCUGCUCUAGAACUAUCAAAAAUUAACUAUUAUAUUUACAAUUUCCAAACCACUGGGAAAAAACUGGACUUCCUGCCAGUCCUAACCUGCCCUUCGGUCACUUAACACCAUAAUUCUGUAAAGACUGAGGACUUGGAGCACUCAGUAAAAUGUGCAGUAGGGAGCAAAUGGUCAGUGGUGACCGGCUCUCCUUCCCCAGUAUAAACCCCCUAGCACCCAGGGACCCAAUGGCUGCUUUUCCUGCCCCUAAUUAUGCUCCCCAAGUUGGAGGCCUCCUUCACUUCCUUCUCCUUGCUAUACAGAGAAACUGCUGUCAUACGCAUUUCCUACUAGGCAUAGUACAUUCUGGCUACUUGCCUCCCAGUUUGCCUGGGAAGGCUCAGACUGCUCCUGAACCUUCCAUGUCACAAACCCCCAGUGGGCACAACCUUGACCAUCUGUACACUUGACCAUAAUGUGUCAUCACACAAAUGGCUCAGUUAGGCUUGGGCCCCCUUCACUAUCCUUAUCACAUUUCCUUUUGUAAAAAACACUCCCUUCCCUCCACUGACUGUCCUUAUUGAGUCUGUGGCUAUGGGGUUAAAAACAGUAUCUCGAUUUUCUGGUCUUCUGGCCCAGCCUUUUCUCAGGCCUCAAACAUCUGGGUGGGCUUUUUUUUUUUUUUUUUUUUUUUUUUUUAAAGAAUCUCAUCACCUAGCUUACUUA